Molecule: ribosomal RNA, 400 nt
Filed under: uncultured bacterium
Lineage: Bacteria
Description: bacterial SSU rRNA
Rfam family: Bacterial small subunit ribosomal RNA
Source: RNAcentral
UGGGGAAUAUUGGACAAUGGGGGCAACCCUGAUCCAGCCAUGCCGCGUGAAUGAUGAAGGCCCUAGGGUUGUAAAGUUCUUUCGCCGGGGAAGAUAAUGACGGUACCCGGAGAAGAAGCCUCGGCUAACUUCGUGCCAGCAGCCGCGGUAAGACGAAGGAGGCUAGCGUUGUUCGGAAUUACUGGGCGUAAAGCGCACGCAGGUGGUGAGAAUAGUCGGAUGUGAAAGCCCGGAGCUUAACUUCGGAAAUGCAUCCGAUACUGUCUCGCUGGAGUCCGGAAGAGGAGAGUGGAAUUCCCAGUGUAGAGGUGAAAUUCGUAGAUAUUGGGAAGAACACCAGUGGCGAAGGCGGCUCUCUGGUCCGGUACUGACACUCAAGUGCGAAAGCGUGGGGAGCAAA